UUCACAUCCCUUUUAAAACGUGGUCCCUGGAACCAUCAGAUUAGCACUGAAGACAGUGGAUGUUCACUUCAAACUUGUGGAUAUGAUUCUGUACUCUAACCUCAGACAAAGUUAAGCUUUUUGUGGAAGAGGUGAGUUGGGGUUGGGUGACAAAUCCCCUCUAACAAGCCAUUCCUGAAUUGUUUUCAUCAGCCAGUUGUUCUCUUAUCAUGAGAGAAUUAACCCACAGGAUCAGUGUAACCGCAUCCCUGACCAGGUGAUCACAGUGACUGUCUCCUGCACAGAUCUCAAACUCCACGCCUGUCCUCCCACCCCAUCAUGGUCCCUAAAAAUGGCAAAAUUAAUCUCUUUCCCUUUGAUACUCUCACGUCAACAAGUAUGUUGCUGUUCAAGAUGUUUGU
RNAcentral lists this long non-coding RNA (401 nucleotides) under Homo sapiens (human). RNAcentral describes it as "HSALNT0168560". The record is from RNAcentral. Lineage: Eukaryota; Metazoa; Chordata; Mammalia; Primates; Hominidae.